UUCCGGUUGAUCCUGCCGGAGGCUACCGCUAUUGGAGUUCGAUUAAGCCAUGCGAGUCUAGAGGCUUCGGCCUCGGCGUACCGCUCAGUAACACGUGGGUAACCUGCCCUAUGGAGGGGAAUAACCUCGGGAAACUGAGAAUAAUGCCCCAUAGCCCACUACGCCUGGAACGGUGAGUGGGUCAAAGCUCCGGCGCCAUAGGAUGGGCCUGCGCCGUAUCAGGUUGUAGGGGGUGUAAAGUACCCUCUAGCCAUCAACGCGUACGGGUGUUGGGAGACAUUGCCCGGAGAUGGAUUCUGAGACACGAAUCCAGACCCUACGGGGUGCAGCAGGCGCGGAAACUUGGCAAUGCGAGAAAUCGUGACCAGGGAACUCCAAGUGCGUAGGGUAAGACCUACGCUUUUCUUGACUCUUCAAAGGUCUUGGAAUAAGGGGUGGGUAAGGACGGUGCCAGCCGCCGCGGUAAUACCGGCGCCUCAAGUGGUAGUCGCUUUUAUUGGGCCUAAAACGUCCGUAGCCGGUCUGGUGCAUUCGUGGGUAAAUCAACCCGCUCAACGGGUUGAAUUCUGCGAGCACGGCCAGACUUGGGACCGGGAGAGGUGUGGGGUACUCUCAGGGUAGGGGUAAAAUCCUGUCAUCCUGAGAGGACCACCUGUUGCGAAGGCGCCACACUAGAACGGAUCCGACGGUCAGGGACGAAACCU
RNAcentral lists this ribosomal RNA (704 nucleotides) under uncultured euryarchaeote. RNAcentral's name for it is "bacterial SSU rRNA". It matches the Rfam family "Archaeal small subunit ribosomal RNA", at positions 1 to 712 of the family's 1478-position model. Lineage: Archaea; Methanobacteriati; Methanobacteriota. The record is from RNAcentral.